RNAcentral lists this long non-coding RNA (1023 nucleotides) under Chinchilla lanigera (long-tailed chinchilla). Its description in RNAcentral is "lncRNA (ENSCLAG00000027656.1)". Lineage: Eukaryota; Metazoa; Chordata; Mammalia; Rodentia; Chinchillidae. The record is from RNAcentral.
GUUGGUCUCUGUAUUGCAGGAGAUUAUUCCAAGAAACAAAGGACAGAGUAUGCAUACAAAAUCCUUGGUAUAGUGUCUGCUAAUAGCAGAUGAAUUCUCAGUGAAUAUACAGAAUACUCUUGAAGUAAUGUGUCUGCCAAACUGUUGGUGAACUUCAAGGUUGCAGGUUGGCUUCACACAGACUGUGAUUAUGACCACACUAUAAAGGUAUCCAAGGAUAAUAAUAUCAAUUUUUCAAUUCUCUGUCUACCUUUAAAACGUAUUUGAGGCAAUGUUGGUUUCACUUUCAGAAAUGGCCAUGUUAGAGCUUACUGAACUGAUCUCCAGAUAAUAACUAUAUACUGGGAAAUUAUAAGCAGGUACUACAGGAAGAGGAGCAUGAGCAGAUGCAUGUAGAUCCUAGGGAGAAAUCUUUGCUUGGAGAAAGGGAGGGAAAUUAAAGAAGAUCUAAGUAAAUAAAGAAAUAGCAUGUUUAUGGGAUGGAAAGCUCUAUGUUAUUAAAAUAGCAAUUAUCCCCCCAACUGAUAUAUAGAGGCAUUGCAACUCCAAUAAAUAUUCCAAUAGGCUUUUAAAAAAUCAAUUGAAAUUCAAGUUAAUAGUAUCAGUUAUACCAUGUGAAUGUAAAGCACCCGUUAACAUAGUGUAAUGAGGAAGCCACUGCCGUUCUGAAAACCCACAAAGUCCUUCUGUGGGUUGUAGGGAGACCCCAGACAAGCCAAAUUGGAGAACACUUCACAGAAUACUUGACUGAUACUCUUCAGGACUGUUAAGGUUAUGCAUGAAAAAUAAGGGACAUCUGAGAACUUUCCCAGACCAGAAAAGACUAGAGCAGCAGGAUGACUGAAUGAAAUGUGGUACUCCAGAUUGGAUCUUGGAAUAAAAAGAGGAUAUUAAUGGAAAGACUGAUGACAUCUAAAUAAAGUCUGGAGUUUACUUAAUAGCAGUGUGCUGAUGCUGGUUUCUUAGUUUUGACAAACAUACUGCAAUAAUGUGAGAUGGUAUCGUUCGGAGAAGCUGCCUGAG